Molecule: ribosomal RNA, 254 nt
Filed under: uncultured bacterium
Lineage: Bacteria
Description: partial 16S ribosomal RNA
Rfam family: Bacterial small subunit ribosomal RNA
Source: RNAcentral
UACGUAGGGGGCGAGCGUUGUCCGGAUUCAUUGGGCGUAAAGAGCUCGUAGGCGGCUUGGCAAGUCGGGUGUGAAAACUUCAGGCUCAACCUGGAGCGGCCACUCGAUACUGCCAUGGCUUGAGUCCGGUAGGGGACCACGGAAUUCCUGGUGUAGCGGUGAAAUGCGCAGAUAUCAGGAGGAACACCGAUGGCGAAGGCAGGUCUCUGGGCAUUAACUGACGCUGAGGAGCGAAAGCAUGGGGAGCGAACAGG